CAAGCUUAACACAUGCAAGUCGAGCGGGGAAGUGGUAGCUUGCUACCUAACCUAGCGGCGGACGGGUGAGUAAUGCUUAGGAAUCUGCCAUUUAGUGGGGGACAACAUUCCGAAAGGAAUGCUAAUACCGCAUACGUCCUACGGGAGAAAGCAGGGGAUCUUCGGACCUUGCGCUAAAUGAUGAGCCUAAGUCGGAUUAGCUAGUUGGUGGGGUAAAGGCCUACCAAGGCGACGAUCUGUAGCGGGUCUGAGAGNGAUGAUCCGCCACACUGGGACUGAGACACGGCCCAGACUCCUACGGGAGGCAGCAGUGGGGAAUAUUGGACAAUGGGCGGAAGCCUGAUCCAGCCAUGCCGCGUGUGUGAAGAAGGCCUUUUGGUUGUAAAGCACUUUAAGCGAGGAGGAGGCUCUCCUAGUUAAUACCUAGGAUGAGUAGGACGUUACUCGCAGAAUAAGCACCGGCUAACUCUGUGCCAGCAGCCGCGGUAAUACAGAGGGUGCGAGCGUUAAUCGGAUUUACUGGGCGUAAAGCGUGCGUAAGCGGCUUUUUAAGGUCGGAUGUGGAAUCCCCGAGCCUAACUUUGGGGAUUGCUUCGAUAC
This 600-nucleotide ribosomal RNA is filed under the name uncultured bacterium. Its description in RNAcentral is "bacterial SSU rRNA". It matches the Rfam family "Bacterial small subunit ribosomal RNA", at positions 43 to 633 of the family's 1533-position model. The record is from RNAcentral.